This is a long non-coding RNA of Cyprinus carpio (common carp), 1480 nucleotides long. RefSeq lists it as uncharacterized. The transcript is spliced from 3 exons. Lineage: Eukaryota; Metazoa; Chordata; Actinopteri; Cypriniformes; Cyprinidae. The record is from RefSeq and is a predicted model, not a curated record.
CCCAGAUAAAGAGCCUGCAUUUCUGUACUUCAGUCAGUAGAUGUCACUGUUGUGUUUACUAAUCGGCAGGCGGUUGAGGCCUACUUUUCCCUUAAAAAAAAAAAAAAAAAAGGCUUCUCUCUGGUAAAUAAAUAAUGUUGCACUGGAAUAGUUUAGCAGAGUUUUAUUGUACAUAAACCUUGUUCAGCAUCUUCACAUGUAACACAGCGUAAUGACACUAACAUCUUGAAGGAUUUCUGGGCAGUGGAGUGUUAAACGGCCCCGGCAAGAGUGGCUCCCCCCACACACACUCACUGCCAGCCGAACCAAAUUGUACUUUAACUCCAGGAAAGAUGAAAUGCUGCCUCUCAUGAGGGUUGCUGUCUAUCCGGCAUCUCGCCGACAUUUAUGGAAGAAGAACUCGCCGUUGCAUGGCUUCCGCUCGACUGACAAGCUCUGAAAAACGCAAAGCAUAUCACGACUGUCAAGAGCAGCAAGUUCUGCUCUGAAACUGCACAGCAGGACCAGAUCUGAUCUUCAGCAUUAACUUGCAGUUCUGAAAAUGGGUAGGUGAAACAAUUCAGAGUGCCCUGCCCGGUCAGAACAGAACCAAUCCAGGUGACAUCAAACUCUCCCUGAAGGCAACACACGCACAUCAGUGCAGAAAACAACAGCACUUUGCAUCAUCAGCAAACAAGAGCAAGGUUUGAGAGCUUUCUGAAAGACAGUCCCAUGUUGGUUUUGGUAGCUUUGCUGUGGAAAUCCAGUCCAUGCUAAAACAGUCCACUGGAGUGAACCGUCGCAUGCGUCUUCAUCAUACAAUCAGAAAUGCAGACAAGAGCACGUCUUUGCUAGAAAGCAUCAUGGGGGGAAUUUGCACAUACAGUCAAUGCCAGGAGGUUUAGCCGAGGAGUACGGCAAACUGUUUUUCUUAAGUGUUACCAACCUAAGUGCUCCCAAAGAUUCCAAUAGAGUCUGUCACGGCGGAUCCGGCCCUCACAACGCAAGAUAAAAUGGCUCAUAAAAGUGCAGGCAAGUGAGCCCAUUUGUGUCUAUUAGAGAGAAAAGUUCCAGCAAGCCAGUCAUUGCUUGUCACUGUGGAGAUUCCUGCGGGAAUGCACUCUCUCCACCUGCGGCUAGCGCGUUAUUAUUUUACCUCCUUCCUUCUUUAUCCCUUUCUGUGAACUCAGAGGAGAAUGCAAGCUCUUCUUCUUUUGAAGAAGAGAAAUGUAUGUGUUUGCUCUUCUCUUAACAGCUAAAUUAGGCCGUGGACUGUGAGUGUGUAGGAUCCUGGAAACACGGAACAAAUGGAAUUAUUUGCCAGGACUUGUCUGAUCACACCGUUAUCUGGAUCUACAUUCCUUCUUUCAACUAGUAGGCCUAUAAGUACUGACAAGUAUAUAUGUUAUACUUAACUGCCAUUCUGUACUACAUUUAAAAACUACAUUUAAAAUAUAAUAAUGAUAAUAAUAAUAAUAAUAAUAAUAAUAAUAAUAAUAAU